AUUUUAACAGACAAUGCAAAAGUUCUGAUAUUGUUAGUAACACUGUUUUUUAAUAUAAAUAUAUAUAGAAAGAUUGAGAAAUUGAAAGCUGAAGCUACCAUGGAAAGGAAUGACUGUGCAUCUCUUAUAGAGGGGAUGGAAGAUCAAGCAAAUGAUGAAAAGUGCUACCCAAUGCUGGUUGUUCUGGCAUAUCUUCUGCCACCGUUGCCUGGAAGUCGCUGCAGUGUUAAAUAUGAAAUUUCAUUCCUUCCAAUUUCCAUUUCGGUAUGUUUUACAUGGACAGUUAUUCUUUUAAUGAUGUCUUGAUGCUUUCUAAACACCUGAAAUGUAUUUGUUUUUAAGCCUGGAGCCAUAUUGCAUCCCUCUGCAGCAGUUUUGAGACCGCAUCAAAGACCAGACCACAGCCAGUCUACAUUGAGAGUUUGAAGAGCACAACAUGACAAUACAUCAUUGCGACGAUUGACAAAAUGACA
This 473-nucleotide long non-coding RNA is filed under the name Sinocyclocheilus grahami. RNAcentral's name for it is "lncRNA (ENSSGRG00000053987.1)". Lineage: Eukaryota; Metazoa; Chordata; Actinopteri; Cypriniformes; Cyprinidae. The record is from RNAcentral.